GCCGAUGUAGCUCAGUUGGUAGAGCAGCGCUUUCGUAAAGCGCGGGCCGGUGGUUCAAAUCCACUCAUCGGCUCCA
RNAcentral lists this transfer RNA (76 nucleotides) under Candidatus Omnitrophota bacterium. Its description in RNAcentral is "tRNA-Thr". It matches the Rfam family "tRNA". Rfam says of the family: Transfer RNA (tRNA) molecules are approximately 80 nucleotides in length. Their secondary structure includes four short double-helical elements and three loops (D, anti-codon, and T loops). RNAcentral also lists the same sequence under 1 other name. Lineage: Bacteria; Pseudomonadati; Candidatus Omnitrophota. The record is from RNAcentral.